RNAcentral lists this ribosomal RNA (874 nucleotides) under Nocardia sp. DP_00094. RNAcentral's name for it is "bacterial SSU rRNA". It matches the Rfam family "Bacterial small subunit ribosomal RNA", at positions 1 to 896 of the family's 1533-position model. Lineage: Bacteria; Bacillati; Actinomycetota; Actinomycetes; Mycobacteriales; Nocardiaceae. The record is from RNAcentral.
UUUUAGGGUUUUGGAUCUGGCUCAGGACGAACGCUAGCGGCGUGCUUAACACAUGCAAGUCGAGCGGUAAGGCCCUUCGGGGUACACGAGCGGCGAACGGGUGAGUAACACGUGGGUGAUCUGCCUUGCACUUCGGGAUAAGCCUGGGAAACUGGGUCUAAUACCGGAUAUGACCACUGAUCGCAUGGUUAGUGGUGGAAAGAUUUAUCGGUGCGAGAUGGGCCCGCGGCCUAUCAGCUUGUUGGUGAGGUAACGGCUCACCAAGGCGACGACGGGUAGCCGACCUGAGAGGGUGACCGGCCACACUGGGACUGAGACACGGCCCAGACUCCUACGGGAGGCAGCAGUGGGGAAUAUUGCACAAUGGGCGAAAGCCUGAUGCAGCGACGCCGCGUGCGGGAUGACGGCCUUCGGGUUGUAAACCGCUUUUGACAGGGACGAAGCGCAAGUGACUGUACCUGUAGAAUAAGGACCGGCCAACUACGUGCCAGCAGCCGCGGUAAUACGUAGGGUCCGAGCGUUGUCCGGAAUUACUGGGCGUAAAGAGCUUGUAGGCGGUUCGUCGCGUCGUUUGUGAAAACUUGGGGCUCAACCUUAAGCUUGCAGGCGAUACGGGCGGACUAGAGUACUUCAGGGGAGACUGGAAUUCCUGGUGUAGCGGUGAAAUGCGCAGAUAUCAGGAGGAACACCGGUGGCGAAGGCGGGUCUCUGGGAAGUAACUGACGCUGAGAAGCGAAAGCAUGGGUAGCAAACAGGAUUAGAUACCCUGGUAGUCCAUGCCGUAAACGGUGGGUACUAGGUGUGGGGCUCCUUCCACGGACUCCGUGCCGUAGCUAACGCAUUAAGUACCCCGCGUGGGAGACCGCCGACGGCC